AUUGAACGCUGGCGGCAGGCCUAACACAUGCAAGUCGAACGGUAACAGGAAACAGCUUGCUGUUUCGCUGACGAGUGGCGGACGGGUGAGUAAUGUCUGGGAAACUGCCUGAUGGAGGGGGAUAACUACUGGAAACGGUAGCUAAUACCGCAUAACGUCGCAAGACCAAAGAGGGGGACCUUCGGGCCUCUUGCCAUCGGAUGUUCCCAGAUGGGAUUAGCUAGUAGGUGGGGUAACGGCUCACCUAGGCGACGAUCCCUAGCUGGUCUGAGAGGAUGACCAGCCACACUGGAACUGAGACACGGUCCAGACUCCUACGGGAGGCAGCAGUGGGGAAUAUUGCACAAUGGGCGCAAGCCUGAUGCAGCCAUGCCGCGUGUAUGAAGAAGGCCUUCGGGUUGUAAAGUACUUUCAGCGGGGAGGAAGGGAGUAAAGUUAAUACCUUUACUCAUUGACGUUACCCGAAGAAGAAGCACCGGCUAACUCCGUG
Molecule: ribosomal RNA, 490 nt
Filed under: uncultured bacterium
Lineage: Bacteria
Description: partial 16S ribosomal RNA
Rfam family: Bacterial small subunit ribosomal RNA
Source: RNAcentral